AGAAGGAGAGAGUUAGCUUCCUUU
RNAcentral lists this small nuclear RNA (24 nucleotides) under Arabidopsis thaliana (thale cress). Its description in RNAcentral is "snRNA_13739". The record is from RNAcentral. Lineage: Eukaryota; Viridiplantae; Streptophyta; Magnoliopsida; Brassicales; Brassicaceae.